UACGGAGGAUCCAAGCGUUAUCCGGAUUUAUUGGGUUUAAAGGGUGCGUAGGCGGACUGUCAAGUCAGCGGUGAAAGUCCAUGGCUCAACCAUGGAAUUGCCGUUGAAACUGUCAGUCUUGAGUGUAGAUGAGGUAGGCGGAAUUCGUAGUGUAGCGGUGAAAUGCUUAGAUAUUACGAAGAACUCCAAUUGCGUAGGCAGCUUACCAGGCUACAACUGACGCUGAGGCACGAAGGUGCGGGGAUCAAACAGG
RNAcentral lists this ribosomal RNA (253 nucleotides) under uncultured bacterium. Its description in RNAcentral is "partial 16S ribosomal RNA". It matches the Rfam family "Bacterial small subunit ribosomal RNA", at positions 524 to 776 of the family's 1533-position model. The record is from RNAcentral.